This 497-nucleotide ribosomal RNA is filed under the name uncultured bacterium. Its description in RNAcentral is "partial 16S ribosomal RNA". It matches the Rfam family "Bacterial small subunit ribosomal RNA", at positions 28 to 507 of the family's 1533-position model. The record is from RNAcentral.
GAUGAACGCUGGCGGCGUGCCUAAUACAUGCAAGUCGAGCGAACAGACGAGGAUCUUGCUCCUCUGACGUUAGCGGCGGACGGGUGAGUAACACGUGGAUAACCUACCUAUAAGACUGGGAUAACUUCGGGAAACCGGAGCUAAUACCGGAUAAUAUAUUGAACCGCAUGGUUCAAUAGUGAAAGACGGUUUUGCUGUCACUUAUAGAUGUAUCCGUGCCGCAUUAGCUAGUUGGUAAGGUAACGGCUUACCAUGGCAACGAUGCGUAGCCGACCUGAGAGGGUGAUCGGCCACACUGGAACUGAGACGCGGUACAGACUCCUACGGGAGGCAGAAGUAGGGAAUCUUGCGAAAUGGGCGAAAGACUGACGGAGCAACGCCGCGUGAGUGAUGAAGGUCUUCGGAUCGUAAAACUCUGUUAUUAGGGAAGAACAAAUGUGUAAGUAACUAUGCACGUCUUGACGGUACCUAAUCAGAAAGCCACGGCUAACUACGUG